This 253-nucleotide ribosomal RNA is filed under the name uncultured bacterium. Its description in RNAcentral is "partial 16S ribosomal RNA". It matches the Rfam family "Bacterial small subunit ribosomal RNA", at positions 524 to 776 of the family's 1533-position model. The record is from RNAcentral.
UACGUAGGGGGCUAGCGUUGUCCGGAAUCAUUGGGCGUAAAGCGCGUGUAGGCGGUUCGGUAAGUCCGCUGUGAAAGUCGGGGGCUCAACCCUCGAAUGCCGGUGGAUACUGUCGGACUAGAGUACGGAAGAGGCGAGUGGAAUUCCCGGUGUAGCGGUGAAAUGCGCAGAUAUCGGGAGGAACACCAAUUGCGAAGGCAGCUCGCUGGGACGUCACUGACGCUGAGACGCGAAAGCGUGGGGAGCAAACAGG